This 2335-nucleotide long non-coding RNA is filed under the name Solanum lycopersicum (tomato). Its description in RNAcentral is "long non-coding RNA (SLYC_LNC000937)". Lineage: Eukaryota; Viridiplantae; Streptophyta; Magnoliopsida; Solanales; Solanaceae. The record is from RNAcentral.
ACUAACAUCGUCAAAAUUGUCUCAUUUAAUAUGUUAGUUUAUGAGGCGUGCUUUAUUUUACUUUUCUUAUUUCACAUAAUUUUUUGGCUGAUUUUCUCACCUUCCCCCUCCCAAGUUCAUAAAUUUGAGAAGGUACGUUUUCCAUUUUAUUUCACCUUCUACAUCAUUAACCCACUCCUUUAUUUUCCUGAUUUGUAACUGUAGUGUCUUAAAUUUGUUUUAAUCUCUAAAUCAUUUCAUUAUUAAUUUAUUUUUGUGCCCUUUCAUACCCUAAUUCUUCGAUUAUAUAUAGUUUGAUAGUUACUCCUUCCUUUUCAUAUCAAAAUUUGGAUUUUCUAUGUAACUUUUAAUUGAGGUCUUACAAUGGCUUAUUCUUGCCUUUCAGAGUUUGUUUCUGGUCGAGAUGAUUUAAUAUUCAUUUUUUUCCUGAUUGGAAAUUGUAGUUUGAUAGUUAUUCCUUUUCAUAUUGGAAUUUGCAUUUUCUAUAUAACUUCUAAUUUAGUUCUUAAAAUAGCUCGGAGUUGGUUUCUGGUCAAGAUGAUUUCAUAGUUGCCUUUAUUUUCCUGAUUUGUAAUUAUAGUGUCUUAAAUUUGUAUUACUGUGUUAAUUUAUUUUUGUGCCCUAUUAUACCCUAAUUCUUCGAUUAUGUAUAGUUUGAUAGUUAGUCCUUUUCAUAUCAGAAUUUGCAUUUUCUGCAUAACUUCUAAUUGAGAUCUUAAAAUAUCCUAGAGUUGGUUUCUGGUCGAGAUGUUUUUUUUGAUAAGGGUUAGAAACAACCUUCCGAUUGGAGAAAGAGAUGUUUUUGAACUGCACGGAUAUUAAGGAGUUAUUGGAGUCUGAUUGGAGCUCUAAACUACAGAUUCUUUUGUCAUUUUGGUACUUCUUUUUAAAACCUCCCAUUUGAGAAAGAGAUGUUUUAUAACCGCAUGGACAUUAAGGAGUUUUUGGAGUCUGAAUGGAGCUCUGAACUACUGGUUGUUUUGUUAUUUUGAACCUUUUGUUUGUAUUUUCCAUUUCAAUAGGAUUGUUACACUAUAUAAUUAUAUAUUUUUAAAUGUAGGAAUACAACAUUAAAGUGAAGGGCUGAAUUAUAGAAAUAGAUAAUUAUUUUGACCUGUAUUACCUCUCCUGUAAUGUGUGUUCGAAGAAGAUUGAACUUGUCAAUAGCGUCUAUCGUUCCCCUAAUUUCAAUAAAGAUUGCAAGUUUCCUUUAGUGAAGUAAGGAUUGUAGAAGAACUUUGAAUUUGAUUUUCAUACAUUGCGAAUUAAUCUAACCUAGUCUCUAAAGAUAGGUUCAAGAUACGCAUAAAAACGAUAGAUAUAUAAGGGUACAAUACUUUUACCCUAUUCAAUGUUGUGGCUGAGAAACUCAUAGUUAAGUUGGUUCAUCCUUUUAUGAUUUUUAGUUUAGUUUAACGGUUAUGUGAAAUUCUUUUAAAUUCGUUAUUAAGAAAAUGAUAGUAGUAGACUACGAGUUCGCAUUCUGGAUCCAUCUACUUAACACUUUGUCAAUUCAAGUAUGAGUUUUAUUAUAAUUGCAUUAUUGAAAAUAGUUGUCCUACAGAUACCAUAGCUUCUAUAAGGGAGUAGACAAUCAUUUUGAAGUUCGAAUUGUGUUAGGGUCAUUAGAAAGUUCUUGCACCUGUGUCGCACUAAAAUGCCCUCAUUCCAACCCAUCCUAAUUAAUUGUAUUAAUGCAUGAGUGUUAAUGAAUUUUCUGGUGCCUUUGUCUAAUUGUUGAAUUUCAUGGAACUUUUGGAACAGAAAAUGAUUCCUCUUGUGAGUGGUGAAGCUAGAUAGUAGAUAGUACCUGCUUCGUUUUCCGCUAUCAUACUCAUAUAAGUUUGAUUCAUACCCUUUAGAGUGAAAUUUUCAUGUAGAUGUGUCAAGAGUAAACUUUAUAGCCACUAUAUUAAUUAAUAUUCAUUAUAUAUUUCACAUUUUUACUGCAGGUUUGUUGAACUUCAAUGGCAACUUUCAGUGCAUUCUUUGAGAGAGGUUCAUAUGCGAAUGUUUGUUGCUGAGUGGCUAAAAUCCCUUAUUUUUAGGGUUUAUAGCUACGAUUGAUGGUUUAAUACAAUUUUUUCUAGUAUGAGAAGGGUUGUCUAAUGAUUUGUGCUUGAAUUAUUUUUUUACCAUUUUAAUUCUUGAUUAACAUUAGAAUAAACUUGUUGUCUGUUCUUGAACUCAGAAGAUAAAUAGAGGGAUAGACCAAAGAAUGUGUGAGAGUGUUCAUUCUAGGGUAAAAUUUAGAGUGUUUUGUAUAUAGGAUAGUCUUAUACUUAUAUACAACACUUGGUUGUUAUACAAGAUGAAUGCUAAAUGGGCCGUCAUU